UCUAGAUGAUGCAUUUCAUUA
This 21-nucleotide small nuclear RNA is filed under the name Arabidopsis thaliana (thale cress). RNAcentral describes it as "snRNA_14215". The record is from RNAcentral. Lineage: Eukaryota; Viridiplantae; Streptophyta; Magnoliopsida; Brassicales; Brassicaceae.